Paramuricea clavata is the source of this 3073-nucleotide non-coding RNA. The record is from the annotation of a GenBank genome assembly. NCBI's taxonomy places the organism in Eukaryota, Metazoa, Cnidaria, Anthozoa, Malacalcyonacea, Plexauridae.
GUUCGUGUAACAUGGCCCUAAACAAGGGAUUUUCAGUAACUACUAAGUAUUUUCAUAAAGUAAAAAAUAAUGAUCACUCGGAAUAAUUUCAUUUUAACAUCGGCCUAUUCGACUAAUAUUGAUAAUGACUAAACAUUUGUCGAAACCAUCGAUAUUAAAUUCAAAAUAAUGAAAUUGUUCGGAAUUACCAUUGUUUUGUACUUUACUAAAAAAGAAGCUGCGCAAAAAAAAAUUCACACAUUUAAUGUAGUCGAAAAUCUUUAUACCCUGAAGAAAUCUUUCCUGUUAUUUAUAGAAAUCUUUUCUUUUCUAGUUACUAGAAAGAAACCCUAAGUCACUGAGAAUGUUGCAUAAACGUCGUUUCAGUCAAAUAAUUGCGUUAAAAAAUCACCAGCCUGGUUAUGGAACAAUUGCACCUUCACCGUCAUCAGUAAUAUUAGUCGAUCUAUCAGACGAUGGCAUAGACACCUCUCAAGAUCGAGUUUAAAUUAUUUUUCUUUAGUAAUUGUGAAGAAAUAAGUCUGAUACCAGUUGCUCGUUUCUUGUGCUAGGUCCUCGGGUCACACUACAGGGCAUUUUUUAACUAUAUAACUACUGAGGUAUUUACCCCAGUAGGCUUUCUGCUUGCCUCAGUAGUGAAGCAAGAUUGCCAAAUGUGCUGGGCCCUUUCUAAACAGACCUCGUUGAGAAACCUGCCUAUACUUCUUUUAUUCUCUACCGUUGUUGACAUUCUGUCUAUAUAUGUCAGUACAGAUAUACCCAGUAGUAGUAAUGUGCCCCAGUAGUUGUAAUGGCUUAGAAAAUGCCUUGUCAUAUUACUAAGCUACUUUACAAGCGAAAAUAUGAGAACGAUAACCGUUGUGAUUAAAACUGAUAAUACAACAUGUUACAGUUCAUUACCAUGGAGAUGCAACUCAGUAGCUAGUAUACUUCGUGAAAUACUUAUGGUGCGAACCAAAGCUGUACUUAAUGCAAAUGAGCGCGCUAUAAUGUCCGCCCGCGCACGAAUUAUCGUCAUUAUUAUUUAUGGCUUUAUUGACAAAUAGACACAACAUACGUCUGCUUUUCCAAGAUUUCAAAUCUGGUAAAAUUAUUUACAGUGAUAUGAUAAAUAUUAUUUAAUAUUGAUUUACAUUUAUAUUUAAUUGUUUAUAAGAGUAAUUAAAAAUAAUUGAAAAGUCUGCGGCAAUAUCUUGCAUGUAGUUAUAAACUCAGCUGAAAUUAGGACUCCAUUUUUUUCAAGAUUGCAUCUGGUGAAGUUAACUAUGAUGCCUCAUUUCCUGUGUAAACAAGUAUUACUGCAAAUAUCUAGCAGUAAAGCAAGCGUGAAACUCUUGAUGGGAACAUCUAAAGGAAAAGAGAAGCAACACCUUUUAUGAAUGAAGUGCUUUAGGAGUGCAAUCACAGAAUAAGAACUUACAGAAGAACGACUCAGCCAAAAAAGCUUAACCACUGCCACGCCAUGUUCCUAACCAGUGCGCUUAUGAGAGGCAUUCACACCCACCCCCCCUGAACAUCCGCAUUUUGAAUAUGUUCAGGGGGUGAAUGCGACAGCGUUGCAACGGUUAUGCCAAAAUCAUAGGCAAAAGCAAGAAGUCGACCUUUUGUAACUUUCAUAUUCUGUGGUGCAAUUCUAAUUUAAGAGUUGCGUACGUGACUGCAGUCAAACGAGAAUGAGAGUUAGCAGUCACGCAUUGUUACUGGGGACAUUUCAAGUUCUAGAUUAACAAAAUAAAGGUUUGUUGAAUGUUCCAACUACGUUUUGACUUAAAUCAAAUACAUGAUAUGGCCAGCUAACCAAUGUCACGUGACUCCUGCACUCUCGUUUGACCCAGGCCCCGGUUACACUAUACCGGAUUGCAUCGGAGCGUCGCGAUUUUCAUACCGGAUUCGGAGUUUACACUACGCCACAAUAAUCCGGUACGCGACGCGGCGUAAAAAUCACUCGGCUUUGGAGGUGAUAUGAAAAGUAAUCCGGUAUCUGCCGAAGUAGUGUAAAGGCUAGUUUCCGCUCUGGAAAAUUAUCCGUGGAUUGGAACGGACAAGAAAAUUGUUCUUUGUGUUAGAGUCAUUAGUUCCAACCCAGAGCUCACAAGACAAAGAAAAAUUUACUUGUCCGUUCCAAUCCAUGGAUAAUUUUCCCGAGUGGAAAUUAGCCUUUAAGCAGGCCAAUCCGGUACGCUUCGGUACGUUUUAGAGCGAAACGAAGCAACGUCUGGUAGUCAAGCUUUUUAAACAAAGUUAUACUUUACAAGAAAACGUGUGUUACUUCUUGUUUUUAAUAAAUUUUAGUAUACUGGCAAAAAAAUAUUGCUUGUUUCCAUGGCGACAGCGGGACAUGAGCUGGCAACAGAGCGAAGCGGCAUGCAUGGUGUAAACACCUUUGUUUUUUAUUUCGGAGUGAAAAUUAAUCCGGUAUGAAAAGUAAUCCGGUAUAGUGUAAAUGGGGCCUUAAAGAUGGAUCCGACUGAAUGAAUGAUAUAACUAAAAUUCCAUGUGUCAGAACAAAUUAGUUAGAAAAAUAUGUAUAUAUUUCAAGAUCGUUCGCCGCUGAUAUACACAUUCCAAAAUCUGAAAGACCUAGCUUGUGAUUGGAAAAUUAUCCCGAAAUUCCAUUGUCUGUAUGAACAACGUAAUCAUAAUUGCUCCCUUGUAUUGUAGUUAGUUUUUCUUAUAAUUAUGUAAUUUUGUAGUUGAACUCGGUAAUUCAGCUUAUGCUGCAGUUUUUAUACCACUGAAAACUUUAUAACAAAUUGCAAAUUACAAUUUACACGCUGUUGUUAGUUACAUACACUAUUGACUAGAAAUUGAUAAAUAUAACAAGAUAAUAAUUUAAAUUUGAUUAAUGAAUAAUGAUUAUUUUACAACAAUGUAUGAAGAAAAUUUAGAAGUAAAGCAAAAAAGGAAGUAAUCGCAAUUGCCUAUCUUUUUCCUGUCGCAGUGAAAUAACUGGAACGCUACCACCAGUCAAAGGCCAGUCCCAGUCUUUUCACGCAUGCGAAGAGCACAGUACAACCGUCAACAUGAAUAUGUAUUCUUGAAAACCGGCUUAAAUUUACAAAAAAAGCUUUUU